This 397-nucleotide ribosomal RNA is filed under the name Valsonectria roseola. RNAcentral's name for it is "Acremonium roseolum partial small subunit ribosomal RNA". It matches the Rfam family "Eukaryotic small subunit ribosomal RNA", at positions 30 to 432 of the family's 1831-position model. The record is from RNAcentral. Lineage: Eukaryota; Fungi; Ascomycota; Sordariomycetes; Hypocreales; Valsonectriaceae.
GCUUGUCUCAAAGAUUAAGCCAUGCAUGUCUUAGUGUAAAUAACUCUUAUGAAACUGCGAAUGGCUCAUUAUAUAAGUUAUCGUUUAUUUGAUAGUGCCUGUCCUACUUGGAUAACCGUGGUAAUUCUAGAGCUAAUACAUGCUAAAAACCCCAACUUCGGAAGGGGUGUAUUUAUUAGAUUAAAAGCCAAUGCCCUUCGGGGCUCAAUGGUGAUUCAUAAUAACUUCACGGAUCGCACGGCCUUGCGCCGGCGAUGGUUCAUUCAAAUUUCUUCCCUAUCAACUUUCGAUGUUUGGGUCUUGGCCAAACAUGGUGGCAACGGGUAACGGAGGGUUAGGGCUCGACCCCGGAGAAGGAGCCUGAGAAACGGCUACUACAUCCAAGGAAGGCAGCAGG